Molecule: long non-coding RNA, 836 nt
Filed under: Panax ginseng (ginseng)
Lineage: Eukaryota; Viridiplantae; Streptophyta; Magnoliopsida; Apiales; Araliaceae
Description: long non-coding RNA (PGIN_LNC008314)
Source: RNAcentral
UGUUACCCAAGUAAUAAUAAGAUCGAUGAUUCGAUGCAACCUUUUAGUGACCAAUGUUUCAAUGUAAUUUAAUUCUUUUAACCUUAAUAUCUUAGAUUAAACUUGAGUCAUAGAAUGUCUCAUACUCUUCAUAAUUUAAUCUGAGUUUUUCUUGAUGAAUAAGUAGACUAUAUGAAACAAAUCACUAUUUGAGCAUGGCCAUGCAUUUCAUAGUCUUACUCACUCAAGAGGCCUUUGGAUAUCACCCCUAAUACAUAGGAGGGUUAAAUUUCAUCUAGAUCACUCAUAUUCCUCACACGAUUCAUGAUGUACCCAAUAAUCACCUUUAUAGUCCACCCUAUUAAAGGUGACAUUUGAUGAUAUCAAAGUACAUAAAUUCUCGUGUAGUAAUAUAGCGAUUUCAGGUCGGAGGACCAUUACAUCAUUGUCACUAUGAGAAUUGCUAAUGACAUUUCGCAUAAUGCUCCAUAUAGAAUUCUCAUGGUGGGUCUGUCCAGUACAUCGUUCUCUAACAUGUACCUAUGCAUUGACUUAAUAUCUCAUAUAUUUAUGACCAAUGAAAUUUGGUCAUCAGUCAAUCCACAUACUAGUCUCAAUGCAUCAUUGUUGGCUCAUCAACAAUGAUACUCGACUAGGGACAUUUAAGAACAAUAAUACUAAUUGUAAUUAUAUAAUCUCAUGUUCAAGUCACAUACUUGAAACUAUAUAACUUGUAUCAAUAUUCUAUGAAUUUUUAUUAUGUUAACAUUUAUAUAACGCAGUAAAUAAAAUCAUAAUAAAAUCAUUCAUUUAUUCAAUCAAAUAUAAUAUCAAAACGUUAAGUAAUUAUAUCAAAU